RNAcentral lists this ribosomal RNA (492 nucleotides) under uncultured bacterium. Its description in RNAcentral is "partial 16S ribosomal RNA". It matches the Rfam family "Bacterial small subunit ribosomal RNA", at positions 28 to 507 of the family's 1533-position model. The record is from RNAcentral.
GAUGAACGCUAGCUACAGGCUUAACACAUGCAAGUCGAGGGGAAACGACAUCGAAAGCUUGCUUUUGAUGGGCGUCGACCGGCGCACGGGUGAGUAACGCGUAUCCAACCUGCCCAUCACUUGGGAAUAACCUUGCGAAAGUAAGACUAAUACCCAAUGAUAUCCCACGAAGGCAUCGGAAUGGGAUUAAAGAUUUAUCGGUGAUGGAUGGGGAUGCGUCUGAUUAGCUUGUUGGCGGGGUAACGGCCCACCAAGGCAACGAUCAGUAGGGGUUCUGAGAGGAAGGUCCCCCACAUUGGAACUGAGACACGGUCCAAACUCCUACGGCAGGCAGCAGUGAGGAAUAUUGGUCAAUGGGCGAGAGCCUGAACCAGCCAAGUAGCGUGCAGGAAGACGGCCCUAUGGGUUGUAAACUGCUUUUAUAAGGGAAUAAAGUGGGUCACGUGUGACUUUUUGCAUGUACCUUAUGAAUAAGGACCGGCUAAUUCCGUG